Molecule: ribosomal RNA, 460 nt
Filed under: uncultured bacterium
Lineage: Bacteria
Description: partial 16S ribosomal RNA
Rfam family: Bacterial small subunit ribosomal RNA
Source: RNAcentral
CCUACGGGAGGCUGCAGUGAGGAAUCUUGGUCAAUGGGCGCGAGCCUGAACCAGCCAAGUCGCGUGAAGGAUGACUGCCCUACGGGUUGUAAACUUCUUUUAUAAAGGAAUAAAGUGCGGCACGUGUGCCCUUUUGUAUGUACUUUAUGAAUAAGGAUCGGCUAACUCCGUGCCAGCAGCCGCGGUAAUACGGAGGAUCCGAGCGUUAUCCGGAUUUAUUGGGUUUAAAGGGAGCGUAGAUGGGUUGUUAAGUCAGUUGUGAAAGUUUGCGGCUCAACCGUAAAAUUGCAAUUGAUACUGGCAGGCUGGAGUACAGUUGAGGUAGGCGGAAUUCGUGGUGUAGCGGUGAAAUGCUUAGAUAUCACGAAGAACACCGAUUGCGAAGGCAGCUUACUAAACUGCAACUGACAUUGAUGCUCGAAAGUGUGGGUAUCAAACAGGAUUAGAUACCCUUGUAGUC